ACGCUCGACACCUACUGGAGGCAGCAGUGGGGAAUAUUGCACAAUGGGGGAAACCCUGAUGCAGCGACGCCGCGUGAAGGAAGAAGUAUUUCGGUAUGUAAACUUCUAUCAGCAGGGAAGAAAAUGACGGUACCUGAGUAAGAAGCACCGGCUAAAUACGUGCCAGCAGCCGCGGUAAUCUGAGCGGCGUGGCAAGGC
This 198-nucleotide ribosomal RNA is filed under the name uncultured bacterium. Its description in RNAcentral is "partial 16S ribosomal RNA". It matches the Rfam family "Bacterial small subunit ribosomal RNA", at positions 328 to 537 of the family's 1533-position model. The record is from RNAcentral.